UUACCAGGCCUUGACAUGCUAGGGGACCUGCCUGAAAGGGUGGGGUGCCCUGAGAGGGGAGCCCUAGCACAGGUGCUGCAUGGCCGUCGUCAGCUCGUGUCGUGAGAUGUUGGGUUAAGUCCCGCAACGAGCGCAACCCCUGCCCUUAGUUGCCAGCGGGUUAGGCCGGGCACUCUAAGGGGACUGCCUGCGAAAGCAGGAGGAAGGCGGGGACGACGUCUGGUCAGCAUGGCCCUUACGGCCUGGGCGACACACGUGCUACAAUGCCCACUACAAAGCGAUGCGACCCAGCGAUGGGGAGCGAAUCGCAAAAAGGUGGGCGUAGUUCGGAUUGGGGUCUGCAACUCGACCCCAUGAAGCCGGAAUCGCUAGUAAUCGCGGAUCAGCCAUGCCGCGGUGAAUACGUUCCCGGGCCUUGUACACACCGCCCGUCACGCCAUGGGAGCGGGUUCUACCCGAAGUCGCUGGGAGCCAUUGGGCAGGCGCCGAGGGUAGGGCUCGUGACUGGGGCGAAGUCGUAACAAGGUAGCUGUACCGGAAGGUGCGGCUGGAUCACCUCCUUUCUA
RNAcentral lists this ribosomal RNA (566 nucleotides) under Thermus tengchongensis. RNAcentral's name for it is "bacterial SSU rRNA". It matches the Rfam family "Bacterial small subunit ribosomal RNA", at positions 971 to 1533 of the family's 1533-position model. Lineage: Bacteria; Thermotogati; Deinococcota; Deinococci; Thermales; Thermaceae. The record is from RNAcentral.